This 229-nucleotide ribosomal RNA is filed under the name Salinicola sp. MH3R3-1. RNAcentral describes it as "partial 16S ribosomal RNA". It matches the Rfam family "Bacterial small subunit ribosomal RNA", at positions 561 to 788 of the family's 1533-position model. The record is from RNAcentral. Lineage: Bacteria; Pseudomonadati; Pseudomonadota; Gammaproteobacteria; Oceanospirillales; Halomonadaceae.
UUAAAGGGUCCGUAGGCGGGUGCGUAAGUCAGUGGUGAAAGUCUGCAGCUCAACUGUAGAACUGCCAUUGAUACUGCACACCUUGAGUAAUUAUGAAGUGGUUAGAAUAUGUAGUGUAGCGGUGAAAUGCAUAGAUAUUACAUAGAAUACCGAUUGCGAAGGCAGAUCACUAAUAAUGUACUGACGCUGAUGGACGAAAGCGUAGGUAGCGAACAGGAUUAGAAACCCC